UCUCAUCCAGGGCUCUGGCUAAAGACUCUAUCACCAGCUAUGGCUUCGGAGCUCCAGAUGUGACAAUAUUCAACUAGAUACUUGACAUUUCUUGGAGGCAUUUCAAAACUUCACCUUCCCAUAUCGAAUCCAUUGGCAAGUCCUUUUCCUGCCAGUGCUCUCCACUGGUUGAAUCCACUUGGAAGCAGGAAGAUGAGGGACCUUGUUGAUGUGCAAGCCAGUCAAUCCCCCAGGGUGUGGACAGUGGAUCUGGACAGGCUACAUAAGAUAUCCAGCCCACUCUCUUCUCAUUAUCCUGCCUUGUUUUCUUUAUUGCAUUUAUCACUGUCUGACAUUAUUUAUGUGUUUACUUAGUAUCUGUCUCCUGCACUAGAGCUCGGGACAUAAUAGAAGUUCAAUAAAUUAUUUAAAAAUCAAGUUAAUCUCAUUUUGAACUCUGGAAGUUACAAUCUGUCCAGGCAUACAUGCCUUAUUUAUAAUAUUUAGGACACUGAUGUUAAAGAUGAUUUUACCAGCCAGGUGCAGUGCCUCACGUCUGUAAUCUCAGCACUUUGGGAGGCCAAGGCAGGAGGACCGAUUGAGCUCAGGAGUUCAAGACAAGCCUGGGCAACAUAGUGAGACCCCAUCUCUACAAAAUUAAAAAUUAAAAAAUUAGCCAGGCAUGGUGGUGCAUGCCUGUAAUCCCAGCUACUUGGGGAGAAUAAGGAGGGAGGAUUGCUUGAACCCAAGAGUUUGGAGGCUGCAGUGAGCUAUACCCUGUCUCAAAAAAGAACAUUUUUCCUACACAGUAGUUUUGUGAUUUAUAGCAUAAAUGGGUUUUAAAUGGAAAACACAGCACAUACAUUCUUAUAUUCAAUUGGGUAGAGUAUUUGGGG
RNAcentral lists this long non-coding RNA (875 nucleotides) under Homo sapiens (human). RNAcentral describes it as "HSALNT0088130". The record is from RNAcentral. Lineage: Eukaryota; Metazoa; Chordata; Mammalia; Primates; Hominidae.